GUAGGGGGCAAGCGUUGUCCGGAUUUAUUGGGCGUAAAGAGCGUGUAGGCGGCCAGGUAGGUCGGUUGUGAAAACUAGAGGCUUAACCUCUAGACGUCGACCGAAACCAUCUGGCUAGAGUCCGGAAGAGGAGAGUGGAAUUCCUGGUGUAGCGGUGAAAUGCGCAGAUAUCAGGAAGAACACCCGUGGCGAAAGCGGCUCUCUGGGACGGUACUGACGCUGAGACGCGAAAGCGUGGGGAGCGAACAGGAUUAGAUACCCUGCUAGUCCACGCCGUAAACGAUGGGUGCUAGGUGUGGGAGGUGUCGACUCCUCCCGUGCCGCAGCUAACGCAUUAAGCACCCCGCCUGGGGAGUACGGCCGCAAGGCUA
This 371-nucleotide ribosomal RNA is filed under the name uncultured bacterium. RNAcentral's name for it is "bacterial SSU rRNA". It matches the Rfam family "Bacterial small subunit ribosomal RNA", at positions 527 to 896 of the family's 1533-position model. The record is from RNAcentral.